UACAGAGGGUGCGAGCGUUGUUCGGAAUUAUUGGGCGUAAAGCGCUUGUAGGCGGUCGGCUAAGUCUCAUGUGAAAUCCCUUGGCUCAACCAAGGAAGUGCACGAGAUACUGACUGACUUGAGUGCCGGAGAGGGUCGCGGAAUUCCCGGUGUAGAGGUGAAAUUCGUAGAUAUCGGGAGGAACACCAGUGGCGAAGGCGGCGACCUGGACGGACACUGACGCUGAGACGCGAAAGCGUGGGGAG
This 245-nucleotide ribosomal RNA is filed under the name uncultured bacterium. RNAcentral describes it as "partial 16S ribosomal RNA". It matches the Rfam family "Bacterial small subunit ribosomal RNA", at positions 524 to 768 of the family's 1533-position model. The record is from RNAcentral.